Molecule: ribosomal RNA, 384 nt
Filed under: uncultured bacterium
Lineage: Bacteria
Description: bacterial SSU rRNA
Rfam family: Bacterial small subunit ribosomal RNA
Source: RNAcentral
GAUGAACGCUGGCGGCGUGCUUAACACAUGCAAGUCGAACGGAGCACCCCUGAAAGAGUUUUCGGACAAUGGAUGGGAAUGCUUAGUGGCGGACGGGUGAGUAACGCGUGAGUAACCUGCCUUGGAGAGUGGAAUAACACAGUGAAAAUUGUGCUAAUACCGCAUGAAGCAGUUGGGUCGCAUGGCUCUGACUGCCAAAGAUUUAUCGCUCUGAGAUGGACUCGCGUCUGAUUAGCUAGUUGGCGGGGUAACGCCCACCAAGGCGACGAUCAGUAGCCGGACUGAGAGGUUGGCCGGCCACAUUGGGACUGAGACAGGCCCAGACUCCUACGGGAGGCAGCAGUGGGAAUAUUGGGCAAUGGGCGCAAGCCUGACCCAGCAACG